RNAcentral lists this ribosomal RNA (496 nucleotides) under uncultured bacterium. RNAcentral describes it as "partial 16S ribosomal RNA". It matches the Rfam family "Bacterial small subunit ribosomal RNA", at positions 28 to 507 of the family's 1533-position model. The record is from RNAcentral.
GAUGAACGCUGGCGGCGUGCCUAAUACAUGCAAGUCGAGCGAACGGACGAGAAGCUUGCUUCUCUGAUGUUAGCGGCGGACGGGUGAGUAACACGUGGAUAACCUACCUAUAAGACUGGGAUAACUUCGGGAAACCGGAGCUAAUACCGGAUAAUAUUUUGAACCGCAUGGUUCAAAAGUGAAAGACGGUCUUGCUGUCACUUAUAAAUGGAUCCGCGCUGCAUAGCUAGUUGGUAAGGUAACGGCUUACCAAGGCAACGAUGCAUAGCCGACCUGAGAGGGUGAUCGGCCACACUGGAACUGAGACACGGUCCAGACUCCUACGGGAGGCAGCAGUAGGGAAUCUUCCGCAAUGGGCGAAAGCCUGACGGAGCAACGCCGCGUGAGUGAUGAAGGUCUUCGGAUCGUAAAACUCUGUUAUUAGGGAAGAACAUAUGUGUAAGUAACUGUGCACAUCUUGACGGUACCUAAUCAGAAAGCCACGGCUAACUACGUG